GCUGAUGUCAACAUCUUGUGCAUGACUUUGCUCUUGUACCCAGUUUUUCCUCAUUCCAAACUGACGCAAGACAGAAAUGCGAAUAUCCUUCCUCUCUUAAAGGAGGGAGUACUGCAUUUACUAUUUAUUUAUCCUGAAAGAAACAACAAAUCGUCAAACAAACAAUAACAUAUUUUUUACAGUAAUGGAUGUAUUAGUCUUUCUAUUGACAUGUACUAUAUAUAUAUAUAUAUAUAAUAUCUUUUUUCUUUUUCUUAUGGUUAAAUUAUUGACAAUUGGUUAAAAAUGUCGUGCAAAAAAGAAUGAUUAUAGGGGAUUAGGCGGUGGUGACUCUGUAGGACUAAAAUGAAUUCAUAAACAAUAAAAUGAAUUCAUAAACAAUUAUUGGCAAACAGAUAGUAAUUAAAGGGUAUAAGAUUAAAUUAAAACAAAGUGACAUGGUGGUGGUUGUAGGAAUAAAAGAAAUUGUUCAUUUUCAAGUAGGAUCCAGUAGAUUAAAUUCAAUCUAAACAGGACAGCCAAUCUAAUCUAUAUGAAAUUCACCACUUCAAUCUGAGCACGGAUCUAAGCUAUUUUUAGCUAUGUACAAUUUAUAUUUAAAAUUCUACAUUUACAUACUGUAUUAAUCAGAAGAGGUACAUGUAAAUACUGCACACCUUUUAUUGGAAGUAUCAUGAAAGGAAGGAUGACAGAACACAUCAAAGAUACGAGUAAGCAAUUUUGUUUACCAUAACGGUACCUUUGUAUUUUUUUUUUAUUUUUUAUUUUUUAAUCAAGGUGUCCGCCUUCGACGACUAUUUCUUGGGUCUGUGAUCCGGUCCCUCUUCACACAGACCAAUUAAACCGCGGGAUGUGUCUUCUAUUGAUCAGGGUCUGAGCGCCUCUCCAAAUAUCACAAUCUCAACCAAGUAAAUGCAAUUUACAUGAUGGAAAAACAUGCAAAAACACUACCAUAUAUUAAUUACAAUAAAAGUAUCACGAUCUUUUAUGACUCUACCAUGUUCUGUUUGAUGUAAAAUUGCAAAAUAGUACCGAUUUGCUAAGACUUCAAUGAUAUCACAAAAUAUUUAUUUUAUUACACUAAUAUUGCAAUUAACAAAACAUUUAAAUAUUUUCAGCAAGCAGAUACUUAAAUAUCUAAUUUUUGACAGUAAUUUCUAUUAAAUUGUCAUCUUUGCUUCCAAUUAUUAGCUCAACAUUAAUUAGAAUCCAAAGAAUCACACGUUGCUGAGAUUUUUUUUUUAAAUCAAGAAGAAAAAUCUCUCAAACAAUAAAUAGAGCAUACGUAGAAGACAAUUGUGGUAUUUCAUUUUUGGGGAAAAAAUAAUAGUUUGCUUGCUACCACAAUUUCAUCAUAGGAACAAGUCUAGGUUUCGUGAGAAUGAAUAAUCUUGUGCAGCCUCAAACAGGAUUAAAUCCUAUUUACAACAAAAACUAGACGUAAAUCAAAUUCAAAAUCACCUAUGGUGUUAUUUAUUCCAUGUUUGCUUAUAUAAGCCCAUAUGUACCCGCUCAACAUCUCACACUUAGAACACUUCAUUACAUAUUUUUUCCCAAUUUGCUUAUAAAGUUACAUCACGAAAAAUAAACAAAGAAAUAUUAUUUUUUCAAAUUUGCAAUUGCAAGAAGAAAGUUGAAUUGUUGAGUAUUUUUCAUGUAAUUCAAAGCCACAAUGAAAAAUAUGAAGAGAAAAUUGAGUUCCAAAACUUAAUCACAACAUACAAGAAACAUGAAUAAAAUUAAAGGUCUAAACAAGCCCACCAUAUUGGUAUAAUUCUUGUUGGCACAAAUAUCUCUAAAUUUUUUUUUGCAUAAAAUCAUAUUAAAAAUGAAAAAUUGAGGAAAUAUUCAUACCUGAAAAUAGCCCAAUAUGAAAUUGGUUCUUAUAAGUGGUUGUUCACGUAUUGGUGCUUUUUCAUGAGUUUCAGUUCCAUCAAUGUUCGAAAAAUGGAUGAAACAUUCAUACCAAAUUCCUCAUUUCACUCAAGAAGACGAAGGAGACCAAUUUUGAAUGGUAAAAAGAUCUGGAGAUGGUCUUCAUGCUGGGCGGAGUGCUGCGUGGAGACCCAUCGUCUCCGCCCUGCCUGCCGCGAAGACCAUGUUGGGCAGAGUGUCUUCAUAUGUCUCUAAGUAGUGCGGAGCCCCAUGGUUUUCGCACUGCGCGGAAUUAACCUAAGAAUUUGCAUUUCUCAUUUCUUCUUGAGACAUGCUUUUCUUCUCAAAUUCUCAGUUUUUGGAAAAAUUUUAGGAUUGUUAGUUUUUAAUGAAAUUUUAGUCAAAUUUAAUUGAAAAACACGCCAAUGAACAAAACUCAACAGCUUUGCUGCUGACCCCACCAAUUUGGGCAAAUUCC
Molecule: long non-coding RNA, 2353 nt
Filed under: Olea europaea (common olive)
Lineage: Eukaryota; Viridiplantae; Streptophyta; Magnoliopsida; Lamiales; Oleaceae
Description: long non-coding RNA (OEUR_LNC006847)
Source: RNAcentral